This 98-nucleotide microRNA precursor is filed under the name Ovis aries (sheep). Its description in RNAcentral is "mir-544 microRNA precursor family". It matches the Rfam family "mir-544 microRNA precursor family". Lineage: Eukaryota; Metazoa; Chordata; Mammalia; Artiodactyla; Bovidae. The record is from Rfam by way of RNAcentral.
AUCACCUGGAAAUCUUGUUAAAAUGCAGGUUUGGAUUCAGAAGGUCUGGAGUAGAACCUGAGAUUCUGCAUUUCUAACAGGUUCCCAGGUGACAAUGA